GAUGAACGCUGGCGGCGUGCCUAAUACAUGCAAGUCGAGCGAACGGACGAGAAGCUUGCUCCUCUGAUGUUAGCGGCGGACGGGUGAGUAACACGUGGAUAACCUACCUAUAAGACUGGGAUAACUUCGGGAAACCGGAGCUAAUACCGGAUAAUAUUUUGAACCGCAUGGUUCAAAAGUGAAAGACGGUCUUGCUGUCACUUAUAGAUGGAUCCGCGCUGCAUUAGCUAGUUGGUAAGGUAACGGCUUACCAAGGCAACGAUGCAUAGCCGACCUGAGAGGGUGAUCGGCCACACUGGAACUGAGACACGGUCCAGACUCCUACGGGAGGCAGCAGUGGGGAAUCUUCCGCAAUGGGCGAAAGCCUGACGGAGCAACGCCGCGUGAGUGAUGAAGGUCUUCGGAUCGUAAAACUCUGUUAUUAGGAAAGAACAUAUGUGUAUGUAACUGUGCACAUCUUGACGGUACCGAAUCAGAAAGCCACGGCUAACUACGUG
Molecule: ribosomal RNA, 497 nt
Filed under: uncultured bacterium
Lineage: Bacteria
Description: partial 16S ribosomal RNA
Rfam family: Bacterial small subunit ribosomal RNA
Source: RNAcentral